Molecule: ribosomal RNA, 1400 nt
Filed under: uncultured bacterium
Lineage: Bacteria
Description: 16S ribosomal RNA
Rfam family: Bacterial small subunit ribosomal RNA
Source: RNAcentral
UUCGCCCUUAGAGUUUGAUCCUGGCUCAGGACGAACUCUGGCGGCGUGCCUAACACAUGCAAGUCGAACGGAGUUGCGUCACGAAGUUCUUCGGAGCGGACGACGCAGCUUAGUGGCGGACGGGUGAGUAACGCGUGAGCAACCUGCCUUUCAGAGGGGGACAACGGUUGGAAACGACCGCUAAUACCGCAUGAAAUGACUGGACCGCAUGAUCCGGUCAUCAAAGAUUUUAUCGCUGAAAGAUGGGCUCGCGUCUGAUUAGAUAGUUGGUGGGGUAACGGCCCACCAAGUCGACGAUCAGUAGCCGGACUGAGAGGUUGAACGGCCACAUUGGGACUGAGAUACGACCCAGACUCCUACGGGAGGCAGCAGUGGGGAAUAUUGGGCAAUGGGGGCAACCCUGACCCAGCAACGCCGCGUGAAGGAAGAAGGCUUUCGGGUUGUAAACUUCUUUUACCGAGGACGAAGAACGUGACGGUACUCGGAGAAAAAGCCACGGCUAACUACGUGCCAGCAGCCGCGGUAAUACGUAGGUGGCAAGCGUUGUCCGGAAUUACUGGGUGUAAAGGGCGUGUAGGCGGAGCGGCAAGUCAGAAGUGAAAUCUCUGGGCUCAACCCGGAAACUGCUUUUGAAACUGUCGCCCUUGAGUAUCGGAGAGGCAGGCGGAAUUCCUAGUGUAGCGGUGAAAUGCGUAGAUAUUAGGAGGAACACCAGUGGCGAAGGCGGCCUGCUGGACGACAACUGACGCUGAGGCGCGAAAGCGUGGGGAGCAAACAGGAUUAGAUACCCUGGUAGUCCACGCCGUAAACGAUGGAUACUAGGUGUGGGGGGACUGACCCCCUCCGUGCCGCAGUAAACACAAUAGGUAUCCCACCUGGGGAGUACGACCGCAAGGUUGAAACUCAAAGGAAUUGACGGGGGCCCGCACAAGCAGUGGAUUAUGUGGUUUAAUUCGACGCAACGCGAAGAACCUUACCUGGCCUUGACAUCCCAUUGAAUAUCCGGUAAAGCGGAUAGGCCUACGGGACAAUGGAGACAGGUGGUGCAUGGUUGUCGUCAGCUCGUGUCGUGAGAUGUUGGGUUAAGUCCCGCAACGAGCGCAACCCUUAUUCCUAGUAGCCAGCAGUCAGAUGGGGACUCUAGGGAGACUGCCGGGGAUAACCCGGAGGAAGGUGGGGAUGACGUCAAAUCAUCAUGCCCCUUAUGGCCAGGGCUACACACGUGCUACAAUGGCGUAAACAAAGGGAAGCGAGAGGGUGACCUUAAGCAAAUCCCAAAAAUAACGUCCCAGUUCGGAUUGUAGUCUGCAACUCGACUACAUGAAGCUGGAAUCGCUAGUAAUCGCAGAUCAGAAUGCUGCGGUGAAUACGUUCCCGGGUCUUGCACUCAACGCCCGUCA